AUUGAACGCUGGCGGCAUGCCUUACACAUGCAAGUCGAACGGCAGCACGGGGGCAACCCUGGUGGCGAGUGGCGAACGGGUGAGUAAUACAUCGGAACGUGUCCUAUCGUGGGGGAUAACUAGUCGAAAGACUAGCUAAUACCGCAUGAGAUCGAGAGAUGAAAGCAGGGGACCGCAAGGCCUUGCGCGAUUGGAGCGGCCGAUGUCGGAUUAGCUAGUUGGCGGGGUAAAAGCCCACCAAGGCGACGAUCCGUAGCUGGUUUGAGAGAACGACCAGCCACACUGGGACUGAGACACGGCCCAGACUCCUACGGGAGGCAGCAGUGGGGAAUUUUGGACAAUGGGGGAAACCCUGAUCCAGCCAUGCCGCGUGUGUGAAGAAGGCCUUCGGUUGUAAAGCACUUUCGGACGGAACGAAAUACGCAAGGGUGAAUAAUCCCUUGUGGAUGACGGUACCGUAAGAAGAAG
Molecule: ribosomal RNA, 468 nt
Filed under: uncultured bacterium
Lineage: Bacteria
Description: bacterial SSU rRNA
Rfam family: Bacterial small subunit ribosomal RNA
Source: RNAcentral